UGCUUCCUACGGGGGGCAGCAGUGGGGGAUAUUGCACAAUGGGGGAAACCCUGAUGCAGCGACGCCGCGUGGGUGAAGAAGCGCCUCGGCGCGUAAAGCCCUGUCAGCAGGGAAGAAAAUGACGGUACCUGAAGAAGAAGCCCCGGCUAACUACGUGCCAGCAGCCGCGGUAAUACGUAGGGGGCAAGCGUUAUCCGGAUUUAUUGGGUGUAAAGGGUGCGUAGACGGAGAAGCAAGUUAGUUGUGAAAUCCCUCGGCUUAACUGAGGAACUGCAACUAAAACUACCUCCCUUGAGUACUGGAGA
Molecule: ribosomal RNA, 305 nt
Filed under: uncultured bacterium
Lineage: Bacteria
Description: bacterial SSU rRNA
Rfam family: Bacterial small subunit ribosomal RNA
Source: RNAcentral